UACGGAGGGAGCUAGCGUUGUUCGGAAUCACUGGGCAUAAAGGGCGCGUAGGCGGGCUUCUAAGUCUGUGGUGAAAUACUCUAGCUCAACUAGAGAACUGCCUCGGAUACUGAAAGUCUCGAGCAAGAUAGGGGCAUGCGGAACGGAUGGUGGAGCGGUGAAAUGCGUUGAUAUCAUUCGGAACUCCGGUGGCGAAGGCGGCAGGCUAGGGCGCAACUGACGCUGAGGCACGAAAGUGCGGGGAUCAAACAGG
This 253-nucleotide ribosomal RNA is filed under the name uncultured bacterium. RNAcentral's name for it is "partial 16S ribosomal RNA". It matches the Rfam family "Bacterial small subunit ribosomal RNA", at positions 524 to 776 of the family's 1533-position model. The record is from RNAcentral.